AUUGAACGCUGGCGGCAUGCUUUACACAUGCAAGUCGAACGGCAGCGCGGGCUUCGGCCUGGCGGCGAGUGGCGAACGGGUGAGUAAUGCAUCGGAACGUGCCCAGUAGUGGGGGAUAGCCCGGCGAAAGCCGGAUUAAUACCGCAUACGACCUGAGGGGGAAAGCGGGGGACCGAAAGGCCUAGCGCUAUUGGAGCGGCCGAUGUCGGAUUAGCUAGUUGGUGGGGUAAAGGCUUACCAAGGCGACGAUCCGUAGCUGGUCUGAGAGGACGACCAGCCACACUGGGACUGAGACACGGCCCAGACUCCUACGGGAGGCAGCAGUGGGGAAUUUUGGACAAUGGGGGCAACCCUGAUCCAGCCAUGCCGCGUGCGGGAAGAAGGCCUUCGGGUUGUAAACCGCUUUUGUUCGGGAAGAAAUCCUCUGGGCUAAUACCCCGGGGGGAUGACGGUACCGGAAGAAUAAGCACCGGCUAACUACGUG
RNAcentral lists this ribosomal RNA (484 nucleotides) under uncultured bacterium. RNAcentral describes it as "partial 16S ribosomal RNA". It matches the Rfam family "Bacterial small subunit ribosomal RNA", at positions 29 to 507 of the family's 1533-position model. The record is from RNAcentral.